CGUUGAAACAUCGGUCCCUGUACGAUCACCGAAGUUAAGCAAUAUCGAGCCUGGUCAGUACCUAGAAGAGUAACCGCUUGGGAAUAACAGGUGUUGUAAG
Acanthosepion pharaonis is the source of this 100-nucleotide non-coding RNA. Lineage: Eukaryota; Metazoa; Mollusca; Cephalopoda; Sepiida; Sepiidae. The record is from the annotation of a GenBank genome assembly.